GGUAAGGUGGCUGAGUGUUAAGCGGCGGAUUGUAGCUCCGUAGACAGAGGUUUAAGCCCUCUCCAUACUA
Molecule: transfer RNA, 70 nt
Filed under: Opsarius pulchellus
Lineage: Eukaryota; Metazoa; Chordata; Actinopteri; Cypriniformes; Danionidae
Description: tRNA-Tyr
Rfam family: tRNA
About the family: Transfer RNA (tRNA) molecules are approximately 80 nucleotides in length. Their secondary structure includes four short double-helical elements and three loops (D, anti-codon, and T loops). Further hydrogen bonds mediate the characteristic L-shaped molecular structure. tRNAs have two regions of fundamental functional importance: the anti-codon, which is responsible for specific mRNA codon recognition, and the 3' end, to which the tRNAs corresponding amino acid is attached (by aminoacyl-tRNA synthetases). tRNAs cope with the degeneracy of the genetic code in two manners: having more than one tRNA (with a specific anti-codon) for a particular amino acid; and 'wobble' base-pairing, i.e. permitting non-standard base-pairing at the 3rd anti-codon position.
Source: RNAcentral